This 1128-nucleotide long non-coding RNA is filed under the name Heterocephalus glaber (naked mole-rat). RNAcentral's name for it is "lncRNA (ENSHGLG00000034779.1)". The record is from RNAcentral. Lineage: Eukaryota; Metazoa; Chordata; Mammalia; Rodentia; Bathyergidae.
CCUCUCCGCCCCGCCGCCGCCUCUCGGCCGCCGCCGCCGCCGGGCAGAUAUGGGAAUUGUCUCAUAUGACUAUGAAGGCCAAGAAUCCCACUACCUGCCUUUGCAAGCUAGAGAACCGGAGAAGUGCAACAUGUAAUUCAGGGACUAUUUCUCCUCUGUGAUGACUGUCUACAAUGAGACCCCUCCUUGGAGCCAGCUGACUAUGGCCUAAAACUUCUACAAACUAUGCCAAAAGAUGCCUGGAGACAAAUGUUCAUAUGACAUUUUGUAUCCUUUAGGGAAGUUUUAUACAUCAGACCCCAACCAAAUUUCUAAACUGUUUCGAACAUUUCUGGAUUCACAGAAAAACUGGCAGGAAGACACUGCUUUUCUUGCUUCUCCUGGGACCUGGCAGGUUUUCUCCUAGUCUGUGCACUAGCUGCUCCCUUUGGGAAGAAAGCUCCUCCCAGAUACCAAACUGCCUUAACUUAAAGUUCUAACUCAAAUGUUAACUCCCUGAAGGGCAUAUUCUAACUGUACCACUUAAAAUUAUAUCUACUUUUCCCAUUUUAGCUUUCCUAGUUCCUCACCCUGCUCUGUAUAAUUUUGUCUUGCACUUAUAAUUUGUAAUACAUUAUAUACCUUACCCUUAUGCUACGGUUACUUUUUAUUAACAGCCAUAAUUCCUAUCCCUGGUAGAAUAUACAUUCCGUCAGGGAAGAAAUCUUAGUCUUUUGUUCACUGAUGAAUUCAUGAGCCAAGGACAAUAUCUGGCACAUUCUACAUUUUCAAUAAGUAUUUAUUGAAUAAGUGAAUAAAUGAAUCCUCCCCCUGAGAAAGUCAAAGUCAUCAAUGAUACUAGAAAUGAUAGUUUGUAAUCAUUAUGAAAUAGUGACUUUGAUUUGUUUAUAUGAAAAAGAAAUCAUCUAACAGAUGAUGGGAAGAUUCACAAAACACUCAAAUAUGCAGACUGACAAUAAAUGUGUAAACAGCCAGCAUUUUUAAUCUGCAUCAGAGGAACUUUCCCAGUAGCAGAAGGUCCUUGAUGCUGAGGCAUAAAUGGAAGCCAGCACUUCAACCUAAUUAGAUUUUACAAUGAAGAAUAUGAACAAAUCAAGGCUUUGUGACUAUUUUCAAUGGCUAUUAAAA